RNAcentral lists this ribosomal RNA (390 nucleotides) under Broadleysaurus major major. Its description in RNAcentral is "partial 12S ribosomal RNA". The record is from RNAcentral. Lineage: Eukaryota; Metazoa; Chordata; Lepidosauria; Squamata; Gerrhosauridae.
CCCCACUAUGCUCAGCCGUCAACCUUAAUAUAACAACACACUAAUAUAUUCGCCAGAGAACUACAAGCAAAACGCUUGAAACUCUAAGGACUUGGCGGUGUCCCAUAUCCCCCUAGAGGAGCCUGUCCUAUAAUCGAUAAUCCACGUUCUACCUUACCAUCUCCGGCAACUCCAGCCUAUAUACCGCCGUCGCCAGCUUACCCUAUGAAGGUCAAACAGUAAGCAAAAUUGCCUCACACAAAAACGUCAGGUCAAGGUGUAGCUAAUAAGAUGGAAGAGAUGGGCUACAUUUUCUUAUAACAGAACAUACGAAAGAUACAAUGAAACACUGUAACUAAAGGCGGAUUUAGUAGUAAAAUAAUAAAGAACAACUAUUUUAAACUUGCUCUG